RNAcentral lists this transfer RNA (64 nucleotides) under Drosophila erecta. RNAcentral's name for it is "tRNA-Arg". Lineage: Eukaryota; Metazoa; Arthropoda; Insecta; Diptera; Drosophilidae. The record is from RNAcentral.
GAAUAUGAAGCGAUUAAUUGCAGUUAGUUUCGACCUAACCUUAGGUUUUUAAAACCCUUAUUCU